This is a non-coding RNA of Delphinapterus leucas (beluga whale), 418 nucleotides long. The record is from RefSeq and is a predicted model, not a curated record. NCBI's taxonomy places the organism in Eukaryota, Metazoa, Chordata, Mammalia, Artiodactyla, Monodontidae.
CUGGCCCCUGGAACCUCACGGAGCACAGCAGCAACAGCAGCAGCAGGCUGACCCCCCGGAGCCGUCUUCCGAGUGACCGCUCGCGCUUCCCUUGCGCGCCCCACGCCCGGACUCAGAGGCCCCGAGGCCCCACGCAGGGCUGGCUGCUGCCUCCGGGAAGAGGACUGACUGCCAGGCGGGAGGAAAAGCAGACUCAUUUGCUUCGAUCCCAAGGAGAGAAUGAAGGCCAGAAAAGAGAGCUAAAAAAGAAGUAUAACUGGGAACAACCAAAAAGAAGAAAAACAAGACAGAAACCUUCCCUGUGAGUUCAGAGGCUGCUCUAACGCCCUAUGCUGUCUGUCCCCAGGUCCUGAGGCUCUGGAAGCUCAGGUGAGUUGCUCAAGCUCUCCUGCCGUCCUCCACGUGUACACACACACAC